Molecule: ribosomal RNA, 494 nt
Filed under: uncultured bacterium
Lineage: Bacteria
Description: partial 16S ribosomal RNA
Rfam family: Bacterial small subunit ribosomal RNA
Source: RNAcentral
GACGAACGCUGACGGCGUGCUUAACACAUGCAAGUCGAACGGUGAAGCGCCUUCCUUUUUGGUGGGUGUGGAUGAGUGGCGAACGGGUGAGUAACACGUGAGUAACCUGCCCCCUUCUUCUGGAUAACCGCAUGGAAGUGUGGCUAAUACGGGAUAUUCUGGGUCUGUCGCAUGAUGGGUCUGGGAAAGAUAUUGUUUCGGUGGGGGAUGGGCUCGCGGCCUAUCAGCUUGUUGGUGGGGUGAUGGCCUACCAAGGCGGUGACGGGUAGCCGGCCUGAGAGGGUGGACGGUCACACUGGGACUGAGACACGGCCCAGACUCCUACGGGAGGCAGCAGUGGGGAAUAUUGCACAAUGGGCGCAAGCCUGAUGCAGCGACGCCGCGUGAGGGAUGGAGGCCUUCGGGUUGUGAACCUCUUUCGCCAGUGAAGCAGGCCUGCCUCGUUUGUGGGUGGGUUGACGGUAGCUGGAUAAGAAGCGCCGGCUAACUACGUG